AAUUCAACUAUAAUGCAACUUACAAUUCAGCCCCUAAAAAACAAAUUGAAGAUAGAUAAAGAUGAAACUGCAAAGAAGUACGAUGAAAUACAAGCAACUUGUAGAUAGAUACAAACCUUUGUCACUAUCAAAGCUUCCAUUUAAAAAAUCAUCAUUGUAAUCAAGUUGUAUAAAAAACAUUUUUGUGGAUAAAUGAGAUGAAAAACUGAACAUGUCUCCAGAGAAGUAUUGUUAACACUUUUGCUUCACAAACAAAUUUUAUAGUUGGCUUUUCAAUAAAUUUUUAUAACAACUGCAAUAUCACCUUAUCAAAACCAGAUUUGUCAUAUGACCAAUUAUUCGAUAUGGAAAAACAAAAUUGACAAUUGUUAUGUUUUCUUUAAUUUGUAAAUUAUUGUUAAUUUGUUAAAGAGAUAUAGUUUUACGUAUAUUAUUUAUUAAUAGUUAUAAAGAUAUAUAAUUUGUUGAUUUUCUUGGUACUUCCU
Hydra vulgaris (swiftwater hydra) is the source of this 485-nucleotide long non-coding RNA. RefSeq lists it as uncharacterized. NCBI's taxonomy places the organism in Eukaryota, Metazoa, Cnidaria, Hydrozoa, Anthoathecata, Hydridae. The record is from RefSeq and is a predicted model, not a curated record.